GACGAACGCUGGCGGCGUGCUUAACACAUGCAAGUCGAACGAUGAAGAAGAGAAACGCGAACUUCGGUUCAAAUUUCACUUCGGAUUAGUGGCAGACGGGUGAGUAACGCGUGAGCAACCUACCUCUUACAAAGGGAUAGCCUCGGGAAACCGUGAUUAAUACCAUAUGACACAUUCAUAAGGCAUCUUAAGAAUGUUAAAGAUACGGCGGUAAGAGAUGGGCUCGCGUCCCAUUAGCUAGUUGGUGAGGUAACGGCCCACCAAGGCGACGAUGGGUAACCGGCCUGAGAGGGUGAACGGUCACAUUGGAACUGAGACACGGUCCAAACUCCUACGGGAGGCAGCAGUGGGGAAUAUUGCACAAUGGAGGGAACUCUGAUGCAGCGACGCCGCGUGAGCGAUGAAGGAAUUCGUUUCGUAAAGCUCUGUUCUAUGGGAAGAAAAGGACUGUACCAUAGGAGAAAGCCCCGGCUAAAUACGUG
RNAcentral lists this ribosomal RNA (482 nucleotides) under uncultured bacterium. RNAcentral's name for it is "partial 16S ribosomal RNA". It matches the Rfam family "Bacterial small subunit ribosomal RNA", at positions 28 to 507 of the family's 1533-position model. The record is from RNAcentral.